RNAcentral lists this non-coding RNA (24 nucleotides) under Arabidopsis thaliana (thale cress). Lineage: Eukaryota; Viridiplantae; Streptophyta; Magnoliopsida; Brassicales; Brassicaceae. The record is from RNAcentral.
GUUGAUCGAAUGGUUCAAAGAGGC